RNAcentral lists this transfer RNA (73 nucleotides) under Stegodyphus mimosarum. It matches the Rfam family "tRNA". Rfam says of the family: Transfer RNA (tRNA) molecules are approximately 80 nucleotides in length. Their secondary structure includes four short double-helical elements and three loops (D, anti-codon, and T loops). Further hydrogen bonds mediate the characteristic L-shaped molecular structure. tRNAs have two regions of fundamental functional importance: the anti-codon, which is responsible for specific mRNA codon recognition, and the 3' end, to which the tRNAs corresponding amino acid is attached (by aminoacyl-tRNA synthetases). tRNAs cope with the degeneracy of the genetic code in two manners: having more than one tRNA (with a specific anti-codon) for a particular amino acid; and 'wobble' base-pairing, i.e. permitting non-standard base-pairing at the 3rd anti-codon position. Lineage: Eukaryota; Metazoa; Arthropoda; Arachnida; Araneae; Eresidae. The record is from Rfam by way of RNAcentral.
GCUUUCGUGGUGUAGUGGUCAGCACGCUCGACGCGUAUUCGAGAGGUCCGUGGUUCGAAUCCCGACGAUGGCA